Molecule: long non-coding RNA, 3936 nt
Organism: Oncorhynchus tshawytscha (Chinook salmon)
Lineage: Eukaryota; Metazoa; Chordata; Actinopteri; Salmoniformes; Salmonidae
Source: Ensembl
CCAACCCAAUGCAGAGACGGGACUGGCUGACUGGCUGUAGCUGCUGCCUUUAAGCAAUCAUUCGACAUGCAGCUUGUCUGUUUGCUAACAUUCCUCAUUCAAAUACUUUUUAACUGCCAGACGGGGAUGACCAUGCGCCUCCCAGGCACGAACAUGGACUCUUGUGGCGCAGCCCGGUGAUAGACCGAGACAGACUAGGGGGUGGCAGACAGGAAGACAGCCCAGAUAUGAUUCACUGAGCUGGGGGAAAGGCAGCUCCCUGUCAUCCUUCUCUGGUUCUCACCGGGAGUCUGAAUCUAACUAACUAACUGGCUGACUGACUGUGGCUGCCCUCUGUCUGUCCCUCUCUACAGGAUAACUGCAUUAUGGUUCUGGAUCUACUACCCUGGUGGAAAAUAAGGCCUGUCUGGAUUUCAACAUCCUGGAUUUCGCAUCCAUAGUUGUUGUGUGCUGCUGACUGUCUACCCAUGUCCGAUUUGAGGUGGACUCCAAUCAAGUUGGAAAAACAUCUCAAGGAUGACCAAUGGAAACAAGUCUCAUAGCAAAAUGUCUGAAUACUUACGUAAACAAGGUAUUUCCCUUUUUUAAAUUUUUAGUACAUUUGCAAAAAUGUUUGUCAUUAUAGGGUAUUGUGUGUAGAUUGAUGAGGAAAACAUAGAAUUGAAUACAUUUUAGAGUAGUAGUCUGUAACAUAACAAAAUAGGGAAGAAUUACUUUCUGAAGGCACUGCGUAUUGUAUCUAUUUAUUUAUUUUUAUUGUACCUUUAUUUAACUAGGCAAGUCAGUUACGAACAAAUUCUUAUUUACAAUGACGGCCAACAAAAAGGCAAAAGACCUCCUGCGGGGACUGGGGCUGGGAUUAAUUAUUAUUUAAAAAAAAUGUAAAUAAUAUAUAAAUAUAGGACAAAACACACAUCACGACAAGAGAGACAACACAACACUACAUAAGAACAGGCCUAAGACAACAACAUAGCAAGGCAGCAACACAUGGCAACUCAGCAUGGUAGCAACACAACAUGGUAGCAGCACAAGACCUGGUACAAACAUUAUUGGGCUCCAAAGAAAUUGAAAUUACAUGAUUUUAUACUAAUACAAUUGCUCAAAUAAAUAACAAGUGUUUAACAAGUGUAGAAUUCGGGGUAAACGGGGUGUUGGAUAUGGGGUCAUUUCAAUUCAGUUAAACUGAGUUAUACAAAAGGAUGGAAAUGUUUUGAAAAGGUAUUUAAAUGGUUUCUGAAGGACAGGGAAAGAAAAUGGAGAGGAAACAUUUUAAUGGGGACGUAUGCCCUGUAUACUGCCUGAUCAAUCUCACUAGAAAUGAUCGGAACAGGGGGUUUAAUUAUAAAAUGAAUGAGAAACACCAGUCUCUAGUCAAAUUGUGCCAUUACUUUAAGAGCUUAUUAUUAUUUGCGUAGGGAGUUAUAAAGAGUUGUAAUUCUAAGUUGAUUAGUUAUUGGAAUGAGUUUCUUUUUGAUUUAACAUGUUGUUUUUGAAUCACGUGUUCGACGGGGUAAAUGACCCGUUCCCUGAGUUCCUGGUCUUUGGGUAAAUAUACAGAAGUACUGUGUUUAGUCUGCAUAUAGAAGGGAAAAUAUAUGUUAAUAAGGGAUAACAGUUAUUUCAAAUGGAUUGUGAUGUGUAUUGCUGAUUUGAUUUGAUGUUUUAGUUUCGAUACAAAAUUCACCAGAUUGGGAUACUGGAGUGUGAGAUUCUGCGAGGGGUUAGGGUGCUAAACUUCAUGAUCUGGUAACUCUUCCAAGAGGUUGCCAGUUGAAUAAGGGAGUAUGGAUCCAUUUUGAAAAUGGUUUCAACAGUAACAGUAUGUUGUUAUGCUCUUUGACAUUUGUCGUAGAGAUAAUGUUAUUAAGAAAAGGUUAAUAUAAUAAUUCAUCAUAUAAUCAAUACUUGUCUGGAUUUCCUGAAACAGAAAUGAAUUGAGCUAAACUGUUGUUGUGAUCUGUGCUUUUUUGAGGUUAUCAUGGAAGGUCGUGUCUUAAUGCAUGGUAGGAAUGAUUUGACCACAGACAGUAUGUGUGAAUCUCAAAACCCUCCCUAAGUGUAUGUUCUAACAGGGAUGAUGUGUGCUAAAUUGAGGAACUGGAAUUCGAGUCCUGGACUCAACAUAAGCACUAAGGACUGUCAUUCUAAAUUUGGGUUUGGAUCAUUUAUAAAAUGUUUUAGUUAUGAUUUGGAUAUAGCGAGAGAGAGUUGCUACAGAAUGGUGAGGGCUGGGGGUGCUGCUAACAUUUAUUUGGCCGAGAGAGUCUCCAGAAACCUUAUCUCUAAGUGUCAUCCUAAAGGGAGGUGGUUUGUUAGGGUAAUCACUGGAUGAUAGCAUGGGACAAUCGUUCAAGUUUUUUGUUCUCUUUUGUUUUACCAUGUACUCAGAAAGUGUAUGUUAAAGUUAUUAAACAUGUACUUUUUCUCUUUCCUUUUCAAGUCAAUAUGUUUUUAGGUUUUGUGGAACAUAAGCAUGCUCAUUGUUCCAGAGGUGGGACUGAUGUAUAUUGACUAAUUGAUUUGAGAAUGUUUUAGUAUGUUUUGUAACUGUGGAAAAGCAUUAGGAGUAGUGACUAGUGUGUUAUGGGUUAGGUGUAAUGAUAGAGGAGUAUCAUUCCCAGAGACUGUGUAUUGUUACAGGAGAUAGCUCUUAGGAGAGAGAGGACAGCUCAAAGCUAACUGUACACAAUAUGGGGAUUUAACUAAACAUUACACAUACCCAAAUCAUGGUGAGAGUAGAAGAGAUAGUGAUGGCAUUUCAGACACUAUGGUAAACUUUCAGGAAACCUGUGACUCAGAGUUUUGUUAGGUUGGAUGUUUUUCCCAAAUCAUUCAUCUUUUUCCAAAUUUCUAACAGCCAAUUUCUAACAUUUGACAGAUUACAUGUAGGAGUUAUUCUCACGGCAAUUGCGGUAGGGACAGUAACUGAAGGAGCAGUAUUACUAGCGUAGUAUGCUAUAUUGGAAUUGGAUUACUGAGCAAGUAUGCUAUAUGGAAUUGGAUUACUGAGCAAAUGUGGGCUAUUGUGAGACUAUGGUCAUGGGCCAUGUUAGUAGUAGCAGGGGUUACUUUAGUAGCAUUGCUGAGAAGGGUCAGGCAAGCGGGUACAGAGUCCAGAAACAGACAAGGGUCAAAACCGGGAGGACUAGAAAAAGGAGAAUAGCAAAAAGUAGGAGAAUGGGAAAAACGCUGGUUGACUUGGAAAACAUACAAGACGAACUGGCACAGAGGGACAGGAUGGGCGGACAGGUGUGGGCAGCUUGGUUGAAGAGCAUGCAUUUAGUUUUACUUGCAUUUAAGAGCAUUUGGAGGCCAGGGAAUGAGAGUUGUAUGGCAUUGAAGCUGGAGGUUAGUUAACACAGUGUCCAAAGAAGGGCCAGAAGUAUACAGAAUGGUGUUGUCUGCGUAGAGGUGGACCAGAGAAUCACCAGCAGCAAGAGCGACAUCAUUGAUGUCAUUCCAUAUAAAGGAGUGAAAAGUUAAUGGUUCUCUGUAGAAAGACAGAGUGGCAGUGGAAUGUGCUGGGUGGAUGGGAGGGAGUCAUGGGAGUGCCAUAGGUGAUAUGAGAGGACAUCUCUGGAUUAGGUGAUGGAGGAGUUGAGGUCAGAAGGUCAGGAGGUCAGGUCAGAUCACCUGAAGGAAGAAAUAAUGGUUUAUGUCUGUUACCCUCUUCCUGUCAAACCAUAAGAUGUAAGGAUGUAAGGAUUGGAGAGAAGGAGGGGUGCCUAAAGUGGAGUAUAUAUACUCUAUGUCUUUGUCUGAAUUACAGCUGUAACGACCCUUUGGGAAGAAUAAAACUUGGUUAAGUUUCUCUAGUGUCCGUGAGUUAUUUACUCUGAAAAAUUAGAACCUAACACAAGUAAUAUCAAAUAAUUUCCAACAUUUUUGGAGCAUACAAUGUAUUUGUUUUAUUUAUUUAUUAAACUUUUUUGCUAC